CACAACCCUCCCUUACAUACUAUGGCCACUUCCGCCGCAACAUCCUCAUUUAUCGGAACACGUCUUCCGGAAAUCCACUCUGGUGCGGCUAGAGUACAAGCCCGAUUUGGGUUUGGACAGAAAAAGGCCGCACCAAAAAAGGCUCCCAAAAAGCAAAUUCCAGACAGACCAUUAUGGUACCCCGGUGCCAAAGCACCGGAGUACCUAGACGGUAGCCUUGUUGGUGACUAUGGAUUCGAUCCUUUCGGUUUGGGAAAACCAGCUGAGUACUUGCAAUUUGAUUUGGACUCGUUGGACCAGAAUUUGGCUAAGAAUCUGGCUGGUGACAUUAUUGGAACAAGGACUGAAGUUGCUGAUGUGAAAUCCACACCUUUCCAGCCUUACAGUGAGGUGUUUGGACUAGAGAGGUUCAGAGAAUGUGAACUGAUCCAUGGAAGAUGGGCUAUGUUGGCUACUCUUGGUGCACUCACUGUUGAAUGGCUCACUGGUAUUACCUGGCAAGAUGCUGGAAAGGUACUACACACUUACCUCUCAGUUCAAUUUAUAUGAAAAUUCAAUUUAUAUGAUACUUUUCAGUAUAAAGUAUUUUCUAUGUCUUGAUUUAUGUGAUAUUUGUUGAGAAUAAUGUGAAGCAGUAAAUAGAAUUAGUUAGGAGUUGUAACAGAAUUAGUUAGGAGUUGUAAGUUCAUGAGUAAGUGGAGCGUACCUAACUUAUGUAUAUAUAGUUGAGUAGGCAUUACCUGUAACUAACUCAAAUAUUUUUUGUUCAAUAUCAAUUUUCUCUCUUUCUGUGAGUUCUCUCUCUUCCUCAAUGUACUGUUCCAUUGAACUUGAUCUCCAUUACUACGAUUUCAUCAUGAUAUUAGAGUUAGGCCCACCAGUUCAUUGUUUCGAUGUUGGCCCCCUUUCUUAUAUUGUUCACGCUCCAUGUCCAGUCCUGGGCGUGCGGGGUGUUGGAGUCCCACUAGGUUAAAAGGAUCCUUGAGCUCCUAAUAUGUCCUUGGGCAAUUCUUCUCUCAUGAGCUAGCUUUUGAGGUUGAGUUAGGUUCAAAGUCCAUUUCUUUAUCAAUAUUGUCUGACUUAUACAAAGCUUAUGGAAAAACGGAAGAUCUUUUAAAUUUAUUAGCUAAAAUACUCCUCAAUCAACUAUUACAUUCUUUUUUAGAUGGACUAGAAAAAGUAUUUUACAUAAAUUGAGAUAUAGCGAAUAUAAAUUAGAACGUUACUUUCUUUAAGUAAAUCUUAUUCCAUGUUAAUGCAUAUAUACUUCAUGAUACACGUAGUGGUGCUGCAUUCCUCUGAAUUAUAUAACCUCUAUGUAGUGGAAUGUUUCAAUAUACUUUUAUGUGAAAUUUAUGUUGAGCUUCACAGAAGAAUAAUAGCGUAGUGAUAAUUGGACACCAUUUAUCGAAAUCUUGGAUCCGUACUUUAUUUUCAACUUCAAUUCCACAAGUCAUCAUUGCAUUUAUUCAUGCUUCAUAUUUUGUUGUUUCCUCAUGUCAAUUUUGUUGUUUCCUCAUGUCAAUUUUGUUGUUUUUCUUCCCUUUCAUACCCUUCUUCCACUUGCUUGCCCACCACAUGUAAAUUAGAUUUUCAUUUAACUUGUUCAAUUAGAACAAUUCAAACAAAAUUUUAUUACUUAUUUUUAAUAUAAACUUAUUAUUAAUUAUAAUCAUUUACUAAUGUGUUUUUCAAUAUUAAAUUCAUUAUAUUUAAAGAGUGAUAUAAUAAAAUUAUUAUUUUAUUUAUUACAUAUUUACCAAGUUAAUACUGCACAAGUAUAAUGGAGAGAGUAAUUUCAUCGGGAUAAGAUUGGCAAUUAUUGUCACUCGUUUUGGUUGCUUUUUACUAUUUAUUGCUUCACUGUGAACAAAUAAUUAAAAUGAAGGUAUAAUUUAAAUAAAGUUUGAUGCCUGAAUAGUAGGUUAAAGCGCGUGUAUUUUGCUUGUGAUUAUUCAUUUCUCACUGUCCAUGGUUGCCCUAGUUUUCAAAUUUGUAACUUUAUUAUGUUGCUAGAUAAGGAAGUACAAAUCUAUAGUGCUAGCUAUUGGAAUACAUAAUUAGACAUUGUCAAUUUAGUACAAGCUUUUAUAGGUUAGAAAUUGCUACUUAAGAAGCAACAAAUACUUAUCUGCACUAGAGAGUUAUAUCGAACAAUAUUAAUUUGUUAUAGCUAAAAGAUUUAAUAAGGUGAGAAUAUAUAUUGGUUAAUUAUGAUUAAAUUAUAAAAAUUUAUGUGCACGCAUAUAUAAUACUAGCAAAAGUUGGCUUGAUAUAAACAUAGAGUAAGAAUAAAUUUUACAAUCUAAUUUGUGAAACUCUCUUUAUUGGAUUUACAUAGGUUGAGUUGGUUGAUUAUGAAUAUUGUUGGACUUGCAUAGCUUGAGUUGGUUGUUUUUGGUUUGAGUAUGAAUAAAGUGUUAGAAACUCUUUAUUGAUUUGAUAUAAUAUCGAGUAUGCAUAAGUUUUAUGGUCUUAUUUGUGAUACUCUUUGUUGGAUUUGGAUAGGUUGAGUUGGUUGAGGGAUCAUCCUACUUGGGACAGCCACUCCCAUUCUCCAUUACAACAUUGAUCUGGAUUGAGGUACUUGUCAUUGGAUACAUUGAAUUCCAAAGGAACGCUGAGCUUGACCCUGAAAAAAGGCUUUACCCUGGUGGAUCAUACUUCGACCCAUUGGGCCUUGCUGCUGAUCCUGAGAAAAAGGCCACACUUCAACUUGCUGAAAUCAAGCAUGCCCGUCUUGCCAUGGUUGCUUUCUUGGGCUUUGCCGUCCAAGCUGCUGCUACCGGAAAAGGUCCACUUAACAACUGGGCUACCCACUUGAGUGACCCGCUUCACACUACCAUUUUCG
This 2851-nucleotide long non-coding RNA is filed under the name Capsicum annuum. Its description in RNAcentral is "long non-coding RNA (CANN_LNC014484)". Lineage: Eukaryota; Viridiplantae; Streptophyta; Magnoliopsida; Solanales; Solanaceae. The record is from RNAcentral.